GACGAACCGUGCGAACGUUGUUCGGAAUCACUGGGCUUAAAGGGCGCGUAGGCGGACCUCCAAGUCCGGGGUGAAAUCUUUCGGCUUAACCGGAAAAGUGCCUUGGAUACUGGGGGUCUCGAGGGAGGCAGGGGCGGAUGGAACUUCCGGUGGAGCGGUGAAAUGCGUUGAUAUCCGGAGGAAUACCAAAGGCGAAGGCAGUGUCCUGGCUGGCAACUGACGCUGAGGCGCGAAAGCUAGGGGAGCAAACAGG
This 253-nucleotide ribosomal RNA is filed under the name uncultured bacterium. Its description in RNAcentral is "partial 16S ribosomal RNA". It matches the Rfam family "Bacterial small subunit ribosomal RNA", at positions 524 to 776 of the family's 1533-position model. The record is from RNAcentral.